This 450-nucleotide ribosomal RNA is filed under the name uncultured prokaryote. RNAcentral's name for it is "bacterial SSU rRNA". It matches the Rfam family "Bacterial small subunit ribosomal RNA", at positions 355 to 796 of the family's 1533-position model. The record is from RNAcentral.
UGGGGAAUAUUGGACAAUGGGCGAAAGCCUGAUCCAGCAAUGCCGCGUGUGUGAAGAAGGCCUGCGGGUUGUAAAGCACUUUCAGCAGGGAAGAAACGCCGGGGACUAAUACUCCCGCGGUACUGACGUUACCUGCACAAGAAGCACCGGCUAACUCCGUGCCAGCAGCCGCGGUAAUACGGAGGGUGCGAGCGUUAAUCGGAAUUACUGGGCGUAAAGCGCGCGCAGGCGGUUCGGUAAGUCAGAUGUGAAAUCCCCGGGCUUAACCUGGGAAUUGCAUUUGAUACUGCCGAACUAGAGUAUGGGAGAGGGAAGUGGAAUCUCCGGUGUAGCGGUGAAAUGCGUAGAGAUCGGAGGGAACACCAGUGGCGAAGGCGGCUUCCUGGCCCAAUACUGACGCUCAGGCGCGAAAGCGUGGGGAGCAAACAGGAUUAGAUACCCCCGUAGUCC